AGAGUUUGAUCCUGGCUCAGGAUGAACGCUGGCGGUCUGCUUAACACAUGCAAGUCGAACGAAUCCCUUCGGGGAUUAGUGGCGGACGGGUGAGUAACGCGUGAGAAUCUACCAAAAGGACUGGGACAACCACUGGAAACGGUGGCUAAUACCGGAUGAGCCGCAACGUAAAAGAGGAAACUCGCCUUUUGAAGAGCUCGCGUCUGAUUAGCUAGUUGGUGAGGUAAAGGCUCACCAAGGCGGCGAUCAGUAGCUGGUCUGAGAGGAUGAUCAGCCACACUGGGACUGAGACACGGCCCAGACUCCUACGGGAGGCAGCAGUGGGGAAUUUUCCGCAAUGGGCGAAAGCCUGACGGAGCAAGACCGCGUGAGGGAGGAAGGCUCUUGGGUUGUAAACCUCUUUUGUCAGGGAAGAACACAAUGACGGUACCUGAAGAAUCAGCAUCGGCUAACUCCGUGCCAGCAGCCGCGGUAAUACGGAGGAUGCAAGCGUUAUCCGGAAUUAUUGGGCGUAAAGCGUCCGCAGGUGGCACUUCAAGUCUGCUGUCAAAGACCGGGGCUUAACCCUGGAAAGGCAGUGGAAACUGAAGCGCUAGAGUGUGGCAGGGGUAGAGGGAAUUCCCGGUGUAGCGGUGAAAUGCGUAGAGAUCGGGAAGAACAUCGGUGGCGAAAGCGCUCUACUGGGCCACAACUGACACUCAGGGACGAAAGCUAGGGGAGCGAAUGGGAUUAGAUACCCUAGUAGUCC
This 748-nucleotide ribosomal RNA is filed under the name uncultured bacterium. RNAcentral describes it as "bacterial SSU rRNA". It matches the Rfam family "Bacterial small subunit ribosomal RNA", at positions 8 to 796 of the family's 1533-position model. The record is from RNAcentral.